GUGUAGACUGAUGAGGGGGAAAAACAAUUUAAUCAAUUUUAGAACAAGGCUGUAACGUAACAAAAUGUGGAAAAAGUCAAGGGCUCAAUACUUUCCGAAGGAACUGUAUAUUCUAGAACGUCUGUUGAGAAAAUUCUAAUUAAAGGUACACCUAAUUUAAAGGGGUAAUGUACUGAAAACCCUAUUCAAUGAAAACUCCACAAGAAAAUCUAUUAGCUAGCAAGUGGGAGGGUUUUCAGCAGUCGAAUUACAUUUAUUCUGAGUGUGCAAGGGAACCACACCUUCAAAGCCCUUUACGCACCUGCAUAAGGUAAGUCUGAAUCGGAACUACUGAGAAGUGUGUAGGAAAGGCGUGCGUAGGAAAUAUACACCUUUCCUACGUCUGAAUCGGGCCCAUAUUGAAUUGUGUUAGGAGAUGUAUCGACUUCUUGGAUAGUUGCAUCUGAGCCACUGGCUUAAUCCUAUUCUUUAACUUUUAUUUUUGGUUGAGUUAGGAGAAGUGAAUCCAACAUACAAUUUGUCGACAAGUUUAUAGGCUAUUUAUAGUAUUUCAAAAGUGACAUUGAAUUGUGUUUGGUUGUCAACACAACCAAAUAUCAACAUUUGAAGGAGAUGUGUCUUCUGCUUGGAUAGUUCCAUCUGUGCCACUGAUUUAGUCUGGCUUUAAUUCCAGUUUGUGGAAUAAGUGGAGAUCUCUUAACAAUCAUUCUCGCGAUAGAAUAUUGGUGAUAGUCAGUGACAAAUAUCAUAGUUCCGCAGGGCUAGGCUUAGUUAAAACCCUGGAUGGGAGACCAAAGGGUAGCUAUAGACACAUUAUCCAGUAGGAGGUGCUGCCCAGCCUAUAGUUAUUUUUUAUCGUGGAUAUAAGGUUGAAGAUCUGAUGUUUUCUUAAAGUUACAAGUUCAACAUAUUUGAUACAAGGUUUGUCUAUUUUGAAAUUUGGUUACCAGGAUGAAAUAAUCCCGUGUUUGAAAUAUCACCCUCAAAACAACAUUUUACGUUCAUUACUUUUUUCACAUUGAAUGCAUUUUCCACAUAAAUUCCAUGUCGCUAUACGUUGACAUAUUAUGUUGAAACGACAGUGAGUCAUUCAGUUUAUGCCCAGUUUGUAGGCUUUUGCUCGGUGGGCUAAUGCUGUCUGCUCAGGUCUAGCUGGUAUCUGUGCCAGUGGUAAGGUUCCCCAGUGUAGCAAAUAACUCUUCCAUCUCUUUCUGCAGGAGAACAUUCUGAGUCUCAGCAUCUUGCCUUGCGCGUUCCGAGUUCCCCAGUUGGAUCUCCAACAUGAAUAACCUCUUCUUCUCCUGGCCUAGAUCCUCUUCUAAACGAUCAGACUGGAGACGAAGACCUGAACACGAAUCCUCUAACCUGAGAACAUCAAGAGAGAGAGCUCCUCCUUCAACUCCGUCACCAGGCUGAACAGACCCUCAUUGACCCCUGACCUCUGACCUGUGAUGUCAUCCCCAGGGUCACCCUCAUUCCAGUCAGCGCUGCUCACACACAGCUCUAGAGGAGAGCUACUGUCCUCAGGCAAAGCGAGGACUCUUUGAGUCGUUCGCCAGUCGAAGCGGUCCGUCGGUGACUCCGGAAGGACGUCAGGCCAUUCAUCAGCCAGUGGCCUCCGGUGACUGUCGACACAUCAACUGCUGACCCCCCCAACUUCCCCCUUACCCCCCCUGACCCGGACCUACAUUUCAAAGAGGACCUCCAUGAAGACUGGCUUUUGGACUGUUUACUGGGGCCGAGGUCUGCGCCACUACCACCCGAGAGUUUUAUUUCGCUCUUUCCUUCACUCUUUCUCUCCAUCUUUUCUUCUGUUCUUCCACCAUUAAUUCCCUCAGAAUCUCCCUCUGUUCUUUCCUUGGGGGUUGAUCCAGGGCGGUCAGUGUCAAGAGAGGACACUGCGGAGGUCAGGAGGGGUUGAAGUGGUUCCUGACUUGGGUUGUUAGGGGUCUGUUCCAGGGAUGGAUAGUCCUUGGCGGGGUGGGGGGGCAGGAUGUCCUCCUGUGAGAGCCAUUCCACCCUGCAGCGCUGAAUCGGGGGGACCCGGGGAUAGGGAGUUGGAGAAGGGGCAGAUUGGUCCUCCCUGGGAGUCUCUGCCUGCCCCUGGUACAGACGAGAGUGUUCACUGAUCAGUACAGUCAUCAGGUGCUGCACCUGGGAACUACCUGCAGGAUGCAAUAAAAAGCUAAUUGUUAGUAUGUACCCCUUUUCCAGUGUGGGAUUCUAGCUUGAAAUAUAUAUUUGAUCAUGUUUCCAUACUAGAACUUAAUGAUUACUUUACAUGUUUAAGGAAUGUACUGUACAUGUUGGGGUCAAUGGAGGGGGGAUAAGAACUAGGUGUAUGGAAAGUUACUGAGUGAGGAGGGGGGAGUGCAGAAAGUUUACAUUACAUCAAAACAUAAUAUUGUUCAAUCUCAUGGCUCCUAAGGAGGGAGGCAAAGGUUUUCAGUCACUGAUCAAUUAGGACAGCCGUGGAUUAGGGAGGAGCAAGGAAUUCGGCCCGGGGUCAGGUCAGAUGAAGUGAGAAGGAAUAGUCCUAUCCCACAUGCAUAUAUUUCCAUGCCCACGAAGGUUCUAGCAUGAGGCAGGGCCAUGACUACACCAUUGAGAGGAACCAGUUAAGUUCCUGACUAGCAACAAAGUACUUAUUGGCUGUCGAGAUGUGCAAGGAGUUGAACAUUCCUAGUAGGAGGGUAUAAAUAUAUGUGCUUGUGUAAACAUGUCUUUGUAGCUGUUUGACGCAGUGGGUGAAUAAACUUGGU
This is a long non-coding RNA of Oncorhynchus gorbuscha (pink salmon), 2762 nucleotides long. RefSeq lists it as uncharacterized. NCBI's taxonomy places the organism in Eukaryota, Metazoa, Chordata, Actinopteri, Salmoniformes, Salmonidae. The record is from RefSeq and is a predicted model, not a curated record. The transcript is spliced from 3 exons.